Molecule: RNA transcript, 1582 nt
Organism: Talpa occidentalis (Iberian mole)
Lineage: Eukaryota; Metazoa; Chordata; Mammalia; Eulipotyphla; Talpidae
Gene: SPATA6L
Gene name: spermatogenesis associated 6 like
Exons: 15
Source: RefSeq, a predicted model, not a curated record
UGAAUGGUGGAAAACAAAGCAAUUUCUACGAUGUGUAAAGAACUCUUGCUCUCCCUGCCACUUUUCACCUUUUUACAGAGAAACUGGCUUUGGAAAGAACAGGAAACGAUGCCUCUGGAGGUGGUGGUGGAGCUGCAGGUCCGGGCGAUUUCUUGCCCAGGGGUGUUCCUUCCUGGCAAGCAAGAUGUGUACCUUGGGAUCUACUUUCUGAAUCAGUACCUGGAGACAGACAGCUUCCCCCCUGUAUUCCCUCUUAUGAUUCAGCAGAGCAUGAAAUUUGAAAAGGUAUUUGAAAAUGCAAUUGAUCCUGGAACCGUAGCAGAUAUUUUAGAAGGCUUCCUAACCAGGUUUGAGUUAAUACAGCUGGUACCUCCAGUGUGGGAAGAGUUGGCCUAUUAUGAAGAAAACACAAGGGACUUCCUUUUUCCAGAGCCCAGGCUGACAACCCCACACACUGGGCUGUACAGAGAGGUGCUCAUGAAGACAGUUGCGGGGUUCCCAGGUAUUGCUCCCAAAUUAGAGUUUCAUACAUGGACAGCCAUCAGAGAAUGUGCAUUUUUGCAUGAAAACAGAUUUCUUGAAGAAAGAUAUAAGUCACAAAAGCCUUUUUAUACAUCCUGUGGAUCAAAAUUCCACUUAAGUAAUGUAAAGAUGAAGCCAAAGGAGAGUAAUCUGGACAGCCUGCCCGAAGGCAUGCAAUCCUGGGCACCCUCUCCACAUUCCACCAGUCGUUUCCUGCAGGACCAGCCAGCUCAGUUGAACCUUAGAAAUAAUUUCAAAAGCAAACCUCCGUUUGUAGUUAGACAUGUGGACAGUGCAAAGCCCUUUGGUGAGAAUAUUUCAGAUUAUCAUUCCCAGAAGUCUAGAAGAAAAUCUAAUUUUUCAGGCUUUCCAUAUCUGAUGAAAAGAGCUUCUUCUCUUGACAGCCUUGCAGCUAACAUAAAGGUUAUCAAAGAGCCAGAUGAACGGAUUAUUUUAAGGAAUGAAUCACCAUCAACUUUAGAUUCAAGUAAGUUUGGAAAACUCUCGCUCAAUUACAGUAACCAAGGGGAUGCUGAUUUCCACCAGGAAACUUCAUUUGCCACUUCCCAGCACUCCAGGUCUCUCAGUCCUCUUCUGGAUCAGCCCCUUCUCCGAGAAAGCAGGUUCCACCCCAGUUCUCAGUCCACAUGGAAGAAGAUCCAUGAAAGGGUAUUUAAUCUUCUGACAUCCCACAGAGCUCAGAAAUACCUAAACAAGGAAGAUUCUAUUGAUGAAGUAAAUGACGUCUUUGAAAGACCAAGAUACCCUCUGAAGAAAUACCCAGUGCAUGAAGACAGAUAUUUUUAAGCUGCUGCUUAUGGAAGGGAAGCUGAAAGUCGGAGGAGCAUCAUGGAGAACUCAGUCACUGAGUCAAUUGACGCAUCCUUAAAGAAAUGAACAGCAAGUUACUGUCAUGUGUAUCAAACCGCCGGUGUUUAACCCCCUUUAAAUCAAACCCUGUACUCAGUGUUUUGUACCCAGGAACUGACAUUCACUUAAAUAGUACCGUGAACUGAUAUAAAUAUCACACCUGCUUUAGUGGAAUGACUUCUAGGAAUCA